CAGUCGCCGCGGUAAUACAGAGGGUGCGAGCGUUAAUCGGAUUUACUGGGCGUAAAGCGUGCGUAGGCGGCUUUUUAAGUCGGAUGUGAAAUCCCUGAGCUUAACUUAGGAAUUGCAUUCGAUACUGGGAAGCUAGAGUAUGGGAGAGGAUGGUAGAAUUCCAGGUGUAGCGGUGAAAUGCGUAGAGAUCUGGAGGAAUACCGAUGGCGAAGGCAGCCAUCUGGCCUAAUACUGACGCUGAGGUACGAAAGCAUGGGGAGCAAACAGGAUUAGAUACCCGCGUAGUCCCUGUCUCUUAUAC
Molecule: ribosomal RNA, 301 nt
Filed under: uncultured bacterium
Lineage: Bacteria
Description: partial 16S ribosomal RNA
Rfam family: Bacterial small subunit ribosomal RNA
Source: RNAcentral